AGUGAACGCUGGCGGUAGGCCUAACACAUGCAAGUCGAACGGCAGCACAGAGGAGCUUGCUCCUUGGGUGGCGAGUGGCAGACGGGUGAGGAAUACAUCGGAAUCUACUCUGUCGUGGGGGAUAACGUAGGGAAACUUACGCUAAUACCGCAUACGACCUACGGGUGAAAGCAGGGGAUCUUCGGACCUUGCGCGAGUGAAUGAGCCGAUGUCGGAUUAGCUAGUUGGCGGGGUAAAGGCCAACCAAGGCGCCGAUCCGUAGCUGGUCUGAGAGGAUGAUCAGCCACACUGGAACUGAGACACGGUCCAGACUCCUACGGGAGGCAGCAGUGGGGAAUAUUGGACAAUGGGCGCAAGCCUGAUCCAGCCAUACCGCGUGGGUGAAGAAGGCCUUCGGGUUGUAAAGCCCUUUUGUUGGGAAAGAAAUCCAGCUGGCUAAUACCCGGUUGGGAUGACGGUACCCAAAGAAUAAGCACCGGCUAACUACGUGCCAGCCGCCGCCGUAA
RNAcentral lists this ribosomal RNA (506 nucleotides) under uncultured bacterium. Its description in RNAcentral is "partial 16S ribosomal RNA". It matches the Rfam family "Bacterial small subunit ribosomal RNA", at positions 29 to 523 of the family's 1533-position model. The record is from RNAcentral.